Molecule: ribosomal RNA, 253 nt
Filed under: uncultured bacterium
Lineage: Bacteria
Description: partial 16S ribosomal RNA
Rfam family: Bacterial small subunit ribosomal RNA
Source: RNAcentral
UACGUAGGGUGCGAGCGUUAAUCGGAAUUACUGGGCGUAAAGCGCACGUAGGCGGCUUUCUAAGUCGGGGGUGAAAUCCUGGAGCUCAACUCCAGAACUGCCUUCGAUACUGGAGAGCUCGAGUCCGGGAGAGGUGAGUGGAACUGCGAGUGUAGAGGUGAAAUUCGUAGAUAUUCGCAAGAACACCAGUGGCGAAGGCGGCUCACUGGCCCGGUACUGACGCUGAGGUGCGAAAGCGUGGGGAGCAAACAGG